RNAcentral lists this long non-coding RNA (311 nucleotides) under Elaeis guineensis (African oil palm). RNAcentral's name for it is "long non-coding RNA (EGUI_LNC077680)". Lineage: Eukaryota; Viridiplantae; Streptophyta; Magnoliopsida; Arecales; Arecaceae. The record is from RNAcentral.
AAGUUCGGAUGGAGUCCAAUUCUUGUAGGAGUCCGGAAGGAGGCCACUUAUUGUAGAAGUUUGAAUGGAGAUCGGUUGCCAUGGAAGCCUAGAUGGAGACCGCUUAUUGUAGAAGCUCGGCUGAAGUCCGCUUGCAAUAGAAGUUCGGACGAAAUCGCUUACUGUAGAAGCUCGGAUGAAAUUCGGAAGGCGGUCGUCCACCGUAGAAACUUGGAUGGAGUCUAGUUACUAUAGAAGUCCUGUUGCUAGAGAAGCUCGGAUAUUGAUGAAGUCCAAAAGAAGCUCGAAGUAAAGUCGAUCCUGAUAGGAGG